AGGGAAUAUUGGGCAAUGGGCGCAAGCCUGACCCAGCCAUGCCGCGUGCAGGAUGAAGGUCUUCGGAUUGUAAACUCCUGUUGCUCGGGACGAAAAGCUUCGACCUAACACGUCGAAGUCUGACGGUACCGAGUGAGGAAGCCCCGGCUAACUCUGUGCCAGCAGCCGCGGUAAUACAGAGGGGGCAAGCGUUGUGCGGAAUUACUGGGCGUAAAGGGCGCGUAGGCGGCCUGCUAAGUCGAACGUGAAAUCCCUGGGCUCAACCCAGGAACUGCGUCCGAUACUGGUUGGCUUGAAUCCGGGAGAGGGACGUGGAAUUCCAGGUGUAGCGGUGAAAUGCGUAGAUAUCUGGAGGAACACCGGUGGCGAAGGCGACGUCCUGGACCGGCAUUGACGCUGAGGCGCGAAAGCCAGGGGAGCAAAC
Molecule: ribosomal RNA, 424 nt
Filed under: uncultured bacterium
Lineage: Bacteria
Description: bacterial SSU rRNA
Rfam family: Bacterial small subunit ribosomal RNA
Source: RNAcentral